This 276-nucleotide ribosomal RNA is filed under the name Triticum aestivum (bread wheat). RNAcentral's name for it is "partial small subunit ribosomal RNA". Lineage: Eukaryota; Viridiplantae; Streptophyta; Magnoliopsida; Poales; Poaceae. The record is from RNAcentral.
AUGAGAAGCAUUGUGCGGUCUGGACGAACAACAUGCUUCUGGGAGGACCGAUGGAUCCAUGGACAAAGAAUACAAGAGUUGGCGCCGCGAGUCUAUGAGUUGGUGCACUCCCGCACUCGCAACCGGAGGAUGGUCAGUACGGCCAUGCAGGACGGCUCUUGGGCGAUGGACAUCAACCCCAACCUUGAACCGGAAACGUUGCAUCAGUUUCUAGCGCUAUGGCAACUGCUCAAUGGUUGGGAGCUUUCGGAUGAUGAGCCGGAUGAGAUAGCAUGA